This 492-nucleotide ribosomal RNA is filed under the name uncultured bacterium. RNAcentral describes it as "partial 16S ribosomal RNA". It matches the Rfam family "Bacterial small subunit ribosomal RNA", at positions 29 to 507 of the family's 1533-position model. The record is from RNAcentral.
AGUGAACGCUGGCGGUAGGCCUAACACAUGCAAGUCGAACGGCAGCACAGUAAGAGCUUGCUCUUACGGGUGGCGAGUGGCGGACGGGUGAGGAAUACAUCGGAAUCUACUUUUUCGUGGGGGAUAACGUAGGGAAACUUACGCUAAUACCGCAUACGACCUACGGGUGAAAUCAGGGGAUCUUCGGACCUUGCGCGAUUGAAUGAGCCGAUGUCGGAUUAGCUAGUUGGCGGGGUAAAGGCCCACCAAGGCGACGAUCCGUAGCUGGGCUGAGAGGAUGAUCAGCCACACUGGAACUGAGACACGGUCCAGACUCCUACGGGAGGCAGCAGUGGGGAAUAUUGGACAAUGGGGGCAAGCCUGAUCCAGCCAUACCGCGUGGGGGAAGAAGGCCUUCGGGUUGUAAAGCCCUUUUGUUGGGAAAGAAAAGCAGCAGGUUAAUACCCCGCUGUUCUGACGGUACCCAAAGAAUAAGCACCGGCUAACUUCGUG